GAGGCAACAACAUCAAGCAGCUACUUACUCUGAGGGAGGUCUGAAUGCCAUAUUGUGAGCGGCCCUGCUGAAAGACCCAUGUGGCAAGGAUCUGAGAUCAUUGGCCAACAGGCUGCAAAGAGUCCUACCAACAGCCAGGCUGGUGUUCUUGGAAGUGGAUCUUCUCCUACUCUCCUACUUGAGAUGACUGCAGCCCCAGCUAACACUUCGAUUGCAGCCUUGUUAAGAUAUCACGGGCCAGACACACCCAGCUAAGUUAUGCCUGAGUUACUAGCCCACAGAAAUGAUAAGAUAAUAAAUAUUUGCUGUUUUA
Molecule: long non-coding RNA, 313 nt
Filed under: Homo sapiens (human)
Lineage: Eukaryota; Metazoa; Chordata; Mammalia; Primates; Hominidae
Description: non-protein coding lnc-HDDC2-7:1
Source: RNAcentral